RNAcentral lists this long non-coding RNA (2055 nucleotides) under Citrus maxima (pomelo). RNAcentral describes it as "long non-coding RNA (CMAX_LNC003377)". Lineage: Eukaryota; Viridiplantae; Streptophyta; Magnoliopsida; Sapindales; Rutaceae. The record is from RNAcentral.
UUUUUUGUUGGUUUAUUUUUAGGGCUGAGACUGCACAUUCAAAAUUAAAAAGGCAACUAUGUUCAUCCCAAGGAAACUUUGUAAGAUUAUGGACAAAACUUCAUUCUUUAGUAGAGUUGCAACAUACAGAAAUUAAGGCAUCAUUUGAGAAGAGUUUGACUACUGUGCAACAUAGUUUCACACCUUCAGUUUUUAAAGAAUUAAGGGGAUUAGUUGCUAGAAAUGCAUUAGAUAUGAUACUAAGUGAGUCAAAAAGAGCUGAUUUAAUUGGUAUAGAUAUUUCAGCAUGUGGUUGUGUAGUUCGACACACUCAUGGGAUACCGUGUGCACAUGAAAUUGCAGAGUAUAAGCGUGAAGGUCGACCAAUACCUUUAGAUUCUGUACAUUUGCAUUGGAGGAAAUUAGACCUUGUCUGCACCAGCUAUGAAAAAUCAGCAGAGUUGAGUUGUACCCCUGAAAUGGAAAUGAUUAUCAAGGGUUUUGAAGAUUCAGAUGGUUUCGGAAAAAUGCAAAUAAAAAGAAAACUGAAAGAAUUAGCUGAUCCAUCCUCAACUUUUUUAAUUGAGCCAACUGUUAAAGCUAAGACUCGAGGACGACCCUCCCAAAAGCUUGAUAAAUCUACCCGCCGAGAUCCAUCAAGAUUUGAGUAUGUAGUAUCCACACAGGAUAAUCAUUCUCCAGACAUUAUGUCUUCAAGUACAACUACAAAAAAACCAAAAGGGCAACGAAAAAUGAGUGUUUCUCAAACAAAAGCACCAAAGCAUGCUUCUUAUAUUGAUUCAUUUUCAUUUGGUUUGAGGCCUUAUAUUUGUGGUGUUAGAGAUGUUGCUGCAGAUGGUAAUUGUGGUUUUCGGGCAGUGGCUGGCCUAAUAGGUAUUGGUGAAGAUAACUGGGCACAAGUCAGGAAAGACUUAAUUGUUGAGUUGCAAAGUCACUUUAAUGAUUAUAAAAGAGUCUUUGAAUAUGCUGGUAGAGCAGAGGAGUUACUUCAUUCACUUUUAUACUUUGAGAAUAACCCAUGGAGAGAGUAUUGGAUGACCAUGCCUGAAAUUGGUCAUAUUAUUGCUUCUAAAUAUAAUGUGGUAUUACUACAUAUAUCAGAUGUGUUGAAUCUAACAUUCCUUCCACUUAGAUCUAUUCCAUUAUCACGCUCCUCGCAUAAAAUCAUUGCUAUUGGAUUUUUUAAUAGAAAUCAUUUCAUCGAGGUAUGUAAAAGUUUAGAAAUUCAAAUUAUGCUACAAUAUCUUAAUUAUUGGACUAAUUUUUCUAUGGCUUUUUUUUUUUUUACAGGUGUUCAUGCUUCCAGCUUCACCUAUUCCUCCUAUUGCGAAUAGUUGGAUCAAAUAUCAUGAACCAUGUGCAGAAGGCUGGGCAACACCAUACAAAACUAAUAUACUUGCUUUCAAGGAUUUGGUGUUUGAAGUUACCACACAAGAAACAAUUGAUCUAGCUAGUCAAUGACAGUAUCAAAAAAUUUUGAACCAUUUUAAUAGUCAUUUUAUUCGUUUCAUAUUUUUAAAGAAAGACUUUGUAAAAGCUGGAAUUCUUUAUUUUAUUGUUACUCAAGAUGACAACCUGUCUCUACUCUUUUUGUUGUUAUUAUUUUUUUUUUAACAUUUUCGAGUUUACUCCAACUGCAAACUAAUUUAUGAAUUAUGAUCUACAUACUAUAAAUUUAAGUAAUGCUACAAUUGACUGUAAAUAUUAAAAUAUCAACAGAAAAAUGAAAAAUAACUUAAAAGAGACAAAAUAAAUAGUACAUGAAAUUAAAAUUCAGCAUUUUAAAAAUUAAGAAAGUUACCUUUUUAUCUUAUUUUCUGGUGAGGAAUUAUCGACAUAUGCCACUCAUCAUCAACAAGAUUCAGGAAGAAAUCAAGACCCAUGAGAGAAAUUAAGAAAGAAGAAAGUAAUUAUGAAGCAAAGGACGAGCUGAACGAUCAUCAGAAUUAUUUUCCCAUCGACAUGUUUUCCAGUGCCCCAGUUGUCUUUCUCCACAAAGGUUCGCAGUCUUUCGAAGAAUUCGUGAUUCUGCAUUUUCAGAAGCUUGUGCUCAGC